This 414-nucleotide ribosomal RNA is filed under the name uncultured microorganism. Its description in RNAcentral is "bacterial SSU rRNA". It matches the Rfam family "Archaeal small subunit ribosomal RNA", at positions 459 to 872 of the family's 1478-position model. The record is from RNAcentral.
CAGCCGCCGCGGUAAUACCGGCGGCCCGAGUGGCGGUCACUAUUAUUGGGCUUAAAGCGUCCGUAGCCGGGUUGGGAAGUCCUCCGGGAAAUCUGGCCGCUUAAAGGUCAGAAUGCCGGAGGAUACUCCCAGCCUAGGGAGCGGGAGAGGCCGAGGGUAUUCCCGGAGUAGGGGGGAAAUCCUAUAAUCCCGGGAGGUCCACCUGUGGCGAAGGCGCUCGGCUGGGACGCGUCCGACGGUGAGGGACGAAGGCCAGGGGAGCAAACCGGAUUAGAUACCCGGGUAGUCCUGGCUGUAAACGAUGCGGACUUUGUGUCGGACAAGCUAUGAGCUUGUCCGGUGCCGGAGGGAAACCGUUAAGUCCGCCGCCUGGGGAGUACGGCCGCAAGGCUGAAACUUAAAGGAAUUGGCGGG